UUCAAAAGUAAUAAAUAUGAUAAUUUAGGUAAUUGACUUUUAUAUAUUCCUUUAUAAUCUAUAAAACUAAAAUGAUAUUAAAUUUUCUCCAAAAAAUAAAAAUAAUAAUAGAAGUAGAGCAAAGAUAUUUACAAUUAAUUAUAAUAAAUCGUAUUAUUUGUAUAUUCUUUUGUGUUGCACAGAUACCAAAUUGAUCAUUUUAUAUCGAUAACUAGAUAAUUCUAAAGACUAAAACUAAAUGAACAUCUCGAUUAUAUCAACCAUUUGGUGACAGAGAAUAUUCACCUUGUCAAAUGAGCAUACAUUUAUUAGUGUUGAUUAAGAAUAAUAGUAAACAUUUAAAAUUUUAUACAUAAUACUAUUAUAUUUUAAAUAAAAAGUAGGAUAAAUUUUAAAUUAAUGAUAUCAAAAAUUUAAUAACAGACAACACCAACUUUAAAACAUAGAUUUUAAAAAAAGGAUUAUGAAUUUACAAGACUACUUAGAUUUUUUUUUUGUAUUUUUGAAAUAUUAAACAUUGAUUCUUAUAAUGAUCAUUGAUGUAAACUAUAAUAGAGUUAUUUUUACACCUUCUAAUAAAAUAUCGAUUUAUAAGAAAAAAUAUUUAAUUCUUCAUUGGAUAUAAAUUCAUAAAUGUAUGG
Molecule: long non-coding RNA, 641 nt
Filed under: Physcomitrium patens
Lineage: Eukaryota; Viridiplantae; Streptophyta; Bryopsida; Funariales; Funariaceae
Description: long non-coding RNA (PPAT_LNC011671)
Source: RNAcentral